UCAAAGAUUUUAUCGCUUGAAGAUGGACUCGCGUCCGAUUAGUUAGUGGGUGAGGUAACGUCUCACCAAGACCGCGAUCGGUAGCCGAAUUGAGAGGUUGAACGGCCACAUUGGGACUGAGACACGGCCCAGACUCCUACGGGAGGCAGCAGUGGGGGAUAUUGCGCAAUGGGGGCAACCCUGACGCAGCAACGCCGCGUGAAGGAUGAAGGUUUUCGGAUGUAAACUUCUUUUAUUAAGGGCGAAAAAUGACGGUACUUAAUGAAUAAGCUCCGGCUAACUACGUGCCAGCAGCCGCGGUAAUACGUAGGGAGCAAGCGUUGUCCGGAUUUACUGGGUGUAAAGGGUGCGUAGGCGGCUUUGCAAGUCAGAUGUGAAAUCUAUGGGCUCAACCCAUAAACUGCAUUUGAAACUGUAGAGCUUGAGUGAAGUAGAGGCAGGCGGAAUUCCCCGUGUAGCGGUGAAAUGCGUAGAGAUGGGGAGGAACACCAGUGGCGAAGGCGGCCUGCUGGGCUUUAACUGACGCUGAGGCACGAAAGCGUGGGUAGCAAACAGGAUUAGAUACCCUGGUAGUCCACGCUGU
RNAcentral lists this ribosomal RNA (583 nucleotides) under uncultured bacterium. Its description in RNAcentral is "bacterial SSU rRNA". It matches the Rfam family "Bacterial small subunit ribosomal RNA", at positions 201 to 803 of the family's 1533-position model. The record is from RNAcentral.